ACUCAAUGAGGGCAACCCCUGAGUAAAGUCCAUGCGGACAACCAUUCAUCUCCUCCGACAACCAUUCAUCUCCUCCGACCCCCGCCCAGCACUAGACUGCGCUCCUAGCACCGCGCCUUCUUCCGGAGCCUCCUCCCCCGGGCUGGCUAGGGGCUGUGGCCCCGCAGCAGAGGAAGCAGUGGUGGUGGCGUCGGCGGCGGCGGCGGCGGCAGCCGGAGCGAGCAGUAGCCGAGCUGGUGAGCGGGUGUGGUGGGGGUGGGGAAGGAGGGUAGGGAUGCCGGGGGCCACUCCUGCGUGGUGCGAGUGGGAACGCGCGCGCGCGCCUGGGUGUGUGUUGUUAGCUGAUAUCCAUGGCAGCUGCAGUGGCAGGGUGCGUGUGCGUGUGUGUGUGUGUGUGUGUGUGUACUAGUUCUACUGUACUGGCAGACGGGAGGAGGCAGGGGAGGAGGGGCGCGCGCGCCGGGUGGGGAGCCACGGAGGGCUUCGCCGCUGCCUCCCUCCCUCCCUCCGCAGCUUGACCCGGUAGUGAAGGCAGAGAGAGAGGCAGGCUGGGUCCGCCUGGCAGCCUACGGGAGGAGGCGGGAGCCGGGAAGGAGGGGAGCCUAGGCCCGGCGUGGGGAGGCCGGCAGGAAGGGCCUCGAGCCCAGUGCGGACCUUUCUUCAGCCUCUGUGCGACCGAGCCGCGCGCCAGGCUCCUGUGCGAGGAGGACGCGCUGACUCCCUCCGACCUGGGCUCCGAUGGAGCAGAAAUAGCGGGACCUGGACUUGUGGCGCGCCUGGUGCCACAUCUCGGGCUCUGCGAGCGUCCUGGCGCGGGAUCCUGCCGUUUGCAUCCAAGAGAGGGGAGGACAGGGGCAAAAGGAUGCAGGGAGGCUGCUGAUUUCCACUGAAGAGCUAAUUUCCUGUGAGACAUUAACAGUGAUUUAAGAAAAAGAUUCCUGUAACUGUAAUGUCUUACAAUAACAGAAUGCAGGAGAGCACAUAUCAAUGAAGAAAAGACAAAAUGUACUUAUCCAUGAAGCUGAGGUUAAGAAACCAGUGUCUUCAAGAGCCAGGGACAGCACUGGGUCUGUGCAGAGUUGAGAGAUGGUGAUGACAUGUGACAGAGCUCCUUGCUGCUCAAAUUUUAUGCCAGAUAAAAUAUUCACCUUCUCGGACUCCCUGGCACCAGGCAUGGCCAUGUAAUCCUACAGCACAGCUGAUGAAAGAGAAGACAUCUUGCUGCUAUUUGACAAGCAAGAAGAUAAAAGCUUUCCUAUAAAGAUGAUGGAGCAAAAAAAUAGAAGGGGCCUAGACUCCCUACCUUCACACUUCCUGCUAUAAAAGCAUUGCUAUUAUAAGGUUAAUCUGCAGAAACAGACUUCUAUGUCAUAUGCUUAAAUGCAUCAAAAUUCAUACAAUAUCCAUUAAAUUGGUAAAAGUAUCCAUUUUAAAGGAUUAAUCUGAGGGACCCACAGACACUUAACACAAUCAAAUCUCAGAAAAAAAAUCAGUUAUUUCAUUGUGAUUUUGAGGCUGAUCUUUUAUGAUCUUUUAGUUAUCAAACUGUUAAAUACAUUUUAACUUUCAAAUUUUAUGAAUAAAGGAGAUGAAUCCUGUUAUUUUCUCAGUGUGAGUGUGAUGAUGUGUGUCAUAUGUGCCUAUGUAUGCACACACAUGUACUCAAGGAGCCUGAAAGGGACCAUGACUUUCUGGGCACUCAAUGCUACUUAUCUCUAACUCCUCCUUCAAAUGUCCCCAUUCUAAGUCUACUUCCUUAGGGAAUAGGUACAAAUAUAUCCCAU
This 1784-nucleotide long non-coding RNA is filed under the name Homo sapiens (human). RNAcentral's name for it is "non-protein coding MAGI2-AS3:52". Lineage: Eukaryota; Metazoa; Chordata; Mammalia; Primates; Hominidae. The record is from RNAcentral.